Long non-coding RNA from Prionailurus viverrinus (fishing cat), 570 nucleotides. RefSeq lists it as uncharacterized. NCBI's taxonomy places the organism in Eukaryota, Metazoa, Chordata, Mammalia, Carnivora, Felidae. The record is from RefSeq and is a predicted model, not a curated record. The transcript is spliced from 3 exons.
CCCAUCAUGCUGAGUCCCAAUGCUGGUGGACACCUGGGCAUCUUCCCUAAUAGUGGAUGGAUGAGGCUUAGCUGUUAGGAUGUUGUGAACCUGUAUAUAUCAGGGGAAAUUACCCACAGAGAAAAGUCAGCCAUCUGUCCCUCUGAAGAGGAUCGAACUCUGGGAAAGUAAAGUAUAGAAACAGUGGGCACAAGCCCCUCCAAGAGGGGAUCUAUUAAGCCGAAGAGCCUUCUAUCCUUGGGUGGGUUUGCCCAGAGGAGCCCCAGUCAGUUGGUAUCUGUUGAGUCGAGGGAUGGAGACUAAUCUCAAGGGAGUGAAUCCAGCUUUGGGAACAAGAAGAGAAACAAAGAGGCUCACAUUUUGAAAAUAACACAUAACGGGGUCCUACACUCAAGAGUUCAAGGUGUAGUCUUGGCCGAUGUUGAGGUUGUUCUCUGCAUCGCACUGGUCUGAACGCGUCUCCAGAGAGAACAAACGAACAGGCUUCAUGAACGGGGGUGCAGGAUGCCUCACUCAACACCGUCCAGCGGAGGGGCGCCUGGGUGGUGCAGUCGGUUAAGCGUCGGACUU